RNAcentral lists this ribosomal RNA (142 nucleotides) under uncultured bacterium. RNAcentral's name for it is "partial 16S rRNA". It matches the Rfam family "Bacterial small subunit ribosomal RNA", at positions 355 to 511 of the family's 1533-position model. The record is from RNAcentral.
UGGGGAAUUUUCCGCAAUGGGCGAAAGCCUUACGGAGCAAUGCCGCGUGGAGGUGGAAGGCCUACGGGUCGUCAACUUCUUUUCUCGGAGAAGAAACAAUGACGGUAUCUGAGGAAUAAGCAUUGGCUAACUCUGUGUCCAG